Long non-coding RNA from Cavia porcellus (domestic guinea pig), 1364 nucleotides. RefSeq lists it as uncharacterized. The record is from RefSeq and is a predicted model, not a curated record. The transcript has 3 exons. NCBI's taxonomy places the organism in Eukaryota, Metazoa, Chordata, Mammalia, Rodentia, Caviidae.
ACAAAAGGACUUAGUACAAAAUUGAUUUAUAAACUGAAGAGUAAUACUUUUUACUGAAAUUUGUACUUGUACAACACUAUGAAAAUGAAGAGAACCAGGGCUAUAAACAUGAGUGGAAGAGAGAGGCUUGGUUGCCCCUCUACCAUUUGUGAUGCAACACAGAGGCCCCUACUAGUCAGCAUCACCAAGCUCUCAGAUAUCCUCUCCUGCAAAGCUCUGUGACAGCCUCACACCUUCCCUUCCCUUUCCUGAAAAUAGAGCUGACCUGCAAAGAAAAAGGAAAGUGGGAAUAAAAGAAGAACCCAGCAAAAUCUUGAAGGUUGUUUUUUUUUCUUAACCAUUGUAUGUUUGUGUUGUGUGUCUUAGUUGUGUUCCCUGUUGAGGAAGAGGUUACAGAUUCUUCAGCUUGUUAUUGUAGAGAAGUUGUAGACAAUCUUGAACUUUAUCAAGGAGUUAGCUUCUACUGCAUAACAAUGUUAGCUGUGACUGAUUGCUAUUUGCAGAUAUUUAUUAAGUGCAAGUCAGGCCUACAGAGUCAGAGUCAUUUUAUGAACAAAUUUAAAGCCAAAAGAGGCUUUACAAUACAAAAUGGUAUUAGGAUUAUUGAUAUUGAUGCAAAUUAUUAAUUAUUGAUAUUGAUGCAAAAUAUUGUACAAAUUCACUUUUUAAUAGCUUCCUGUUUAUUUUAUGCAACAAUUAAAAAUUAAUAUGUCUUUAGGUGGGGAGCAUAGCUUAGUGGAAAAGCAGUUGUCUAGCAUUCACAGAGCCCUGGGUUCAGUCCUCAGCAAUACAUACACACACGCACACACACACCCCAGUUAUAUAUAUGCAUCUACCUGUAAUUAUAGACACGUGUCUUUAUGAUAGGGGCACACUCUGAAAAAGGUGAUAUUAGUUGAUUCACAAUUACGCAAACAUCCCAGAGUGUACUUACCGCGCCUCACUGGCAGAGCUUGGUGACCACAUAGUGUCACUGCCACCUCCCUGCCAGAGGCUGGUCUCUAUGUAGCCCAGGCUGGUCUCAACUCAUGGCAGUUCUGCCUCAGCCUCCCAAGUGCUGGGAUUACAAGUGUGUGCCAUCAUGCCUGGUUCUUCUUCUUCUUAUUUUAAUUAAAACACUUUUUGCAGUGCUGAGGAUGGAACCUAGGACCUAGGGCAUGCUAAGCAAAUGCUCUGCCACUGAGCCACAUGGCCAGUUGUAUUAUUAUUACUAUUAAUUUGAAGAGCCCCUGUCCCACAGGGAAGGGCACUGAGAGAAGUGCUUCUCGGUGGGAGGGAAGCUGGUUCUGGAGGACCCAUACUGGACCCCACGGGGUUCUCCAAUUCUGCCCCUAUCCAUGCUUCCCAACCAAGCAGAGAGCUGA